GAUGAACGCUGGCGGUGUGCCUAAUACAUGCAAGUCGAGCGAACAGACGAGGAGCUUACUCCUCUGACGUUAGCGGCGGACGGGUGAGUAACACGUGGAUAACCUACCUAUAAGACUGGGAUAACUUCGGGAAACCGGAGCUAAUACCGGAUAACAUGUUGAACCGCAUGGUUCAACAGUGAAAGACGGUCUUGCUGUCACUUAUAGAUGGAUCCGCGUCGCAUUAGCUAGUUGGUAAGGUAACGGCUUACCAAGGCAACGGUGCGUAGCCGACCUGAGAGGGUGAUCGGCCACACUGGAACUGAGACACGGUCCAGACUCCUACGGGAGGCAGCAGUAGGGAAUCUUCCGCAAUGGGCGAAAGCCUGACGGAGCAACGCCGCGUGAGUGAAGAAGGUCUUCGGAUCGUAAAACUCUGUUAUUAGGGAAGAACAAAUGUGUAAGUAACUAUGCACGUCUUGACGGUACCUAAUCAGAAAGCCACGGCUAACUACGUG
RNAcentral lists this ribosomal RNA (497 nucleotides) under uncultured bacterium. Its description in RNAcentral is "partial 16S ribosomal RNA". It matches the Rfam family "Bacterial small subunit ribosomal RNA", at positions 28 to 507 of the family's 1533-position model. The record is from RNAcentral.